UACGAAGGGGGCGAGCGUUGUUCGGAUUUACUGGGCGUAAAGGGCGCGCAGGCGGCUCAUUUUGUCAGGCGUGAAAGCCCCGGGCUUAACCUGGGAACUGCGCUUGAGACGGGUGGGCUAGAGAUCGGGAGAGGAGAGUGGAAUUCCCAGUGUAGAGGUGAAAUUCGUAGAUAUUGGGAAGAACACCGGUGGCGAAGGCGGCAUCCUGGACCGGUAUUGACGCUGAGGCGCGAAAGCUAGGGGAGCAAACGGG
RNAcentral lists this ribosomal RNA (253 nucleotides) under uncultured bacterium. RNAcentral describes it as "partial 16S ribosomal RNA". It matches the Rfam family "Bacterial small subunit ribosomal RNA", at positions 524 to 776 of the family's 1533-position model. The record is from RNAcentral.